GCCCGCGUGGCGCAAUUGGUUAGCGCGUCAGACUUUUAAGAAGAGUUUCCCGCAAGGAAAUUCCUUCUAGGCCAUCUGAAUGUUGCGAGUUCGAGUCUCGCCGUGGGCG
Non-coding RNA from Sordaria brevicollis, 109 nucleotides. Lineage: Eukaryota; Fungi; Ascomycota; Sordariomycetes; Sordariales; Sordariaceae. The record is from the annotation of a GenBank genome assembly.